AGUGAACGCUGGCGGUAGGCCUAACACAUGCCAGUCGAACGGCAGCACAGUAAGAGCUUGCUCUUACGGGUGGCGAGUGGCGGACGGGUGAGGAAUACAUCGGAAUCUACUUUUUCGUGGGGGAUAACGUAGGGAAACUUACGCUAAUACCGCAUACGACCUACGGGUGAAAGCAGGGGAUCUUCGGACCUUGCGCGAUUGAAUGAGCCGAUGUCGGAUUAGCUAGUUGGCGGGGUAAAGGCCCACCAAGGCGACGAUCCGUAGCUGGUCUGAGAGGAUGAUCAGCCACACUGGAACUGAGACACGGUCCAGACUCCUACGGGAGGCAGCAGGGGGGAAUAUUGGACAAUGGGCGCAAGCCUGAUCCAGCCAUACCGCGGGGGUGAAGAAGGCCUUCGGGUUGUAAAGCCCUUUUGUUGGGAAAGAAAAGCAGCAGGUUAAUACCCCGCUGUUCUGACGGUACCCAAAGAAUAAGCACCGGCUAACUUCGU
This 491-nucleotide ribosomal RNA is filed under the name uncultured bacterium. RNAcentral describes it as "partial 16S ribosomal RNA". It matches the Rfam family "Bacterial small subunit ribosomal RNA", at positions 29 to 506 of the family's 1533-position model. The record is from RNAcentral.